UAACCUCAGCGGGGACAGAAGUG
This 23-nucleotide non-coding RNA is filed under the name Mus musculus (house mouse). Lineage: Eukaryota; Metazoa; Chordata; Mammalia; Rodentia; Muridae. The record is from RNAcentral.